This is a long non-coding RNA of Canis lupus familiaris (dog), 1177 nucleotides long. RefSeq lists it as uncharacterized. The transcript is spliced from 6 exons. The record is from RefSeq and is a predicted model, not a curated record. NCBI's taxonomy places the organism in Eukaryota, Metazoa, Chordata, Mammalia, Carnivora, Canidae.
UCACAACUGGUGGGAGGAAAGGAUGGAUGACUAGUAGUUAGUAAAGAAUGGCAAUUCAAAUGGGAAAACAAAUUGGACCUUUGACUUAGAAACCAAGAACAACAACAUAAUCAAACCCAAGCAAAACAUCCUGCUGGGUUAAAGACCUAAAUGGGAAAUAACUCCAGAAGAAAUUACAGGAAUGGGGAAGGAUUUCCCAAAUAAGACAAAAGCACAGAUUAUAGUAAGAGAUCUCUCUGUGAAAGGAGGGAACAUGGCAGGGGGAAGUGAGAGAAGAGGCAUACAACUACAGAUUGGGGAAAAAGUUCAUCUUGGUUCAACAACAGACUUAUUGAGAGCAGACGAAUGAAACUUUGUCCUACAAGGUACACAAUCAUUGGCCAGAAGAAAGCUGCUGAGCUCUCUUAGUACAGAGGAUGCUUUCUAGGUCUGUGAUACACACGGAAUAGAAAUAAAUACAGUACGGUGCUGAGUGCAUCUUUCAUGUAGCCUUGUGAAGUGAACAAUGUCACCAGGAAAGAGAAGGGCAGUAGUGUGUGAAGGACUUGGUACCUGUUACAUUAUCCUAAUGCCAAGCAACUGGUGAAACCAUCCCUGCUGAAGCAUGCAGUGUAGGCUUCUAAGUCAUGAAAGAACCAGCUUACAGCGCAUGACAGCUUCCUUGACUUGGUGAAAGCCACCAUCGGGUCCCCGGCCGUCCACGAAGUACAUGAACCGGAGCUCAGCAGGGUAGGCAGCUCUGGUGAGGCCUGACAUCAGGGGGAUGGUGCGGCCCUCUGCCCCAGGGGCCUCACUCAGGGCCUGUAGCAUCUGGUACUUGCACCAUGGGUCCUGCAGGAAGCCCGGGGUGAUGAGCAGUACGCGGCAGUGACUGCUGCUCAGUGCGUGGCACAGCUCUGACACGAUGGCGCCGCCUGGGGUCGAAUCCCGAAGCUGUAGGAAGCAGCGCAGGCUGGCCGCGCUGCCCUCCAGAGGCUUAUUCUGCCCAGAACUUCCAGCUAGUGCUGACUAACCAGCCAUCUGCUAGUCGGUUCAUUUUAAUUGUUGAGGGGGCAGCUGGGUAGCUCAGCGGUUGAGCAUCUGCCUUCGGCUCAGCUUGUGAUCCCGAGGUCCUGGGAUCGAGUCCUGCAUCGCGCUCCCUGCAUGGAGCCUGCUUCUCCCUCUGGCUGUCUCUGCC